GACGAACGCUGGCGGCGUGCCUAAUACAUGCAAGUAGAACGCUGAAGAGAGGAGCUUGCUCUUCUUGGAUGAGUUGCGAACGGGUGAGUAACGCGUAGGUAACCUGCCUGGUAGCGGGGGAUAACUAUUGGAAACGAUAGCUAAUACCGCAUAAAAUGGAUUAUCGCAUGAUAAUCCAUUGAAAGGUGCAAAUGCAUCACUACCAGAUGGACCUGCGUUGUAUUAGCUAGUUGGUGGGGUAACGGCUCACCAAGGCGACGAUACAUAGCCGACCUGAGAGGGUGAUCGGCCGCACUGGGACUGAGACACGGCCCAGACUCCUACGGGAGGCAGCAGUAGGGAAUCUUCGGCAAUGGACGGAAGUCUGACCGAGCAACGCCGCGUGAGUGAAGAAGGUUUUCGGAUCGUAAAGCUCUGUUGUAAGAGAAGAACGAGUGUGAGAGUGGAAAGUUCACACUGUGACGGUAUCUUACCAGAAAGGGACGGCUAACUACGUGCCAGCAGCCGCGGUAAUACGUAGGUCCCGAGCGUUGUCCGGAUUUAUUGGGCGUAAAGCGAGCGCAGGCGGUUAGAUAAGUCUGAAGUUAAAGGCUGUGGCUUAACCAUAGUACGCUUUGGAAACUGUUUAACUUGAGUGCAAGAGGGGAGAGUGGAAUUCCAUGUGUAGCGGUGAAAUGCGUAGAUAUAUGGAGGAACACCGGUGGCGAAAGCGGCUCUCUGGCUUGUAACUGACGCUGAGGCUCGAAAGCGUGGGGAGCAAACAGG
This 765-nucleotide ribosomal RNA is filed under the name uncultured Streptococcus sp. RNAcentral describes it as "bacterial SSU rRNA". It matches the Rfam family "Bacterial small subunit ribosomal RNA", at positions 28 to 776 of the family's 1533-position model. Lineage: Bacteria; Bacillati; Bacillota; Bacilli; Lactobacillales; Streptococcaceae. The record is from RNAcentral.